UUAGUACGUGGACGUAGACCCGAAACCGGGUGAUCUACCCCUGUCCAGGGUGAAGGUGCGGUAACACGCACUGGAGGCCCGAACCCACGCAUGUUGAAAAAUGCGGGGAUGAGGUGGGGGUAGCGGAGAAAUUCCAAUCGAACUCGGAGAUAGCUGGUUCUCCCCGAAAUAGCUUUAGGGCUAGCCUCGGAAAACAGAGUCGUGGAGGUAGAGCACUGAUUGGGUGCGGGGCCCGCAAGGGUUACCAAGCUCAGUCAAACUCCGAAUGCCAUAGACUUACUUCCGGGAGUCAGACAGUGAGUGCUAAGAUCCAUUGUCAAAAGGGAAACAGCCCAGACCAUCAGCUAAGGUCCCCAAGUGUGUGUUAAGUGGGAAAGGAUGUGGAGUUGCACAGACAACCAGGAUGUUGGCUUAGAAGCAGCCACCAUUGAAAGAGUGCGUAAUAGCUCACUGGUCGAGUGACUCUGCGCCGAAAAUGUAACGGGGCUAAACACACCACCGAAGCUAUGGCUUGAUGCUUUGCAUCAGGGGUAGGGGAGCGUUGUAUAAGGGUUGAAGGUGUACCGUAAGGAGCGCUGGACAUUAUACAAGUGAGAAUGCCGGUAUGAGUAACGAAAAGAUCAGUGAGAAUCUGAUCCGCCGAAAGCCUAAGGGUUCCUGAGGAAGGCUCGUCCGCUCAGGGUAAGUCGGGACCUAAGGCGAGGCCGAAAGGCGUAGUCGAAGGACAACAGGUCGAAAUUCCUGUACCACC
Molecule: ribosomal RNA, 751 nt
Filed under: Paenibacillus sp. FSL H7-689
Lineage: Bacteria; Bacillati; Bacillota; Bacilli; Caryophanales; Paenibacillaceae
Description: bacterial LSU rRNA
Rfam family: Bacterial large subunit ribosomal RNA
Source: RNAcentral